RNAcentral lists this ribosomal RNA (497 nucleotides) under uncultured bacterium. Its description in RNAcentral is "partial 16S ribosomal RNA". It matches the Rfam family "Bacterial small subunit ribosomal RNA", at positions 28 to 507 of the family's 1533-position model. The record is from RNAcentral.
GAUGAACGCUGGCGGCGUGCCUAAUACAUGCAAGUCGAGCGAACAGAUAAGGAGCUUGCUCCUUUGACGUUAGCGGCGGACGGGUGAGUAACACGGGGGUAACCUACCUAUAAGACUGGGAUAACUUCGGGAAACCGGAGCUAAUACCGGAUAAUAUUUCGAACCGCAUGGUUCGAUAGUGAAAGAUGGUUUUGCUAUCACUUAUAGAUGGACCCGCGCCGUAUUAGCUAGUUGGUAAGGUAACGGCUUACCAAGGCGACGAUACGUAGCCGACCUGAGAGGGUGAUCGGCCAAACUGGAACUGAGACACGGUCCAGACUCCUACGGGAGGCAGCAGUAGGGAAUCUUCCGCAAUGGGCGAAAGCCUGACGGAGCAACGCCGCGUGAGUGAUGAAGGUCUUCGGAUCGUAAAACUCUGUUAUUAGGGAAGAACAUACGUGUAAGUAACUGUGCACGUCUUGACGGUACCUAAUCAGAAAGCCACGGCUAACUACGUG